UACGUAGGGCGCAAGCGUUGUCCGGAAUUAUUGGGCGUAAAGAGCUCGUAGGCGGCUUGUCGCGUCGAUUGUGAAAGCCCGGGGCUUAACUCCGGGUCUGCAGUCGAUACGGGCAGGCUAGAGUGUGGUAGGGGAGAUCGGAAUUUCAGGUGUAGCGGUGAAAUGCGCAGAUAUCAGGAGGAACACCGGUGGCGAAGGCGGGUCUCUGGGCCGAAACUGACGCUGAGGAGCGAAAGCGUGGGGAGCAAACAGG
Molecule: ribosomal RNA, 253 nt
Filed under: uncultured bacterium
Lineage: Bacteria
Description: partial 16S ribosomal RNA
Rfam family: Bacterial small subunit ribosomal RNA
Source: RNAcentral